Molecule: ribosomal RNA, 321 nt
Filed under: Cercozoa sp.
Lineage: Eukaryota; Cercozoa
Description: SSU rRNA
Rfam family: Eukaryotic small subunit ribosomal RNA (bases 62-321)
Source: RNAcentral
GAUUUCUGGCUUGAAACAUUUUGCCGGCCACGGUUUCGUGUGUUAGUGCUUGAUGUUCUGGCCAUCCUUCCAAUUGCUGUACGUUUUUCUUCAUUGAUUAGCGUGCGGUAUUGGAUCUUUUACUUUGAAAAAAUUAGAGUGUUUCAAGCAGGCUAUUGCUAUGAAUACAUUAGCAUGGAAUAAUAAUUUAGGACUUCGGUUCUAUUUUGUUGGUUUCUAGGACUGAAGUAAUGAUUGAUAGGGAUAGUUGGGGGUGCUAGUAUUCAGCGGCCAGAGGUGAAAUUCUUGGAUUCGCUGAAGACUAACUUAUGCGAAAGCAUU